Oncorhynchus tshawytscha (Chinook salmon) is the source of this 283-nucleotide long non-coding RNA. The record is from Ensembl. Lineage: Eukaryota; Metazoa; Chordata; Actinopteri; Salmoniformes; Salmonidae.
GGAAUUAUGGGAGAAAAGCAGUGGAACUGGCUUCCAGGUCUCUACUGUAUAUAGGGCACACUACUUUAGACCUGAUCCCUAUGCGUCCUGGUCUAAAGUAGUGCACUAUAUAGGGAAUAGGGUGUCAUAGGGCUCUGGUCUAAAGUAGUGCACUAUAUAGGGAAUUGGGUGCCAUAGGGCUCUGGUCUAAAGUAGUGCACUAUAUAGGGAACAGGGCUCUGGUCUAAAGUAGUGCACUAUAUAGGGAACAGGGCUCUGGUCUAAAGUAGUGCACUAUAUAGGG